This 84-nucleotide transfer RNA is filed under the name Stenotrophomonas phage IME-SM1. Its description in RNAcentral is "tRNA-Tyr". It matches the Rfam family "tRNA". Rfam says of the family: Transfer RNA (tRNA) molecules are approximately 80 nucleotides in length. Lineage: Duplodnaviria; Heunggongvirae; Uroviricota; Caudoviricetes. The record is from RNAcentral.
GUAGUGCCGGUGAAGUUGGAGAGUCACACCAGGCUGUAAACCUGGCGCCUUAUGGCUGAGUAGGUUCGAUUCCUACGCGCUGCA